RNAcentral lists this transfer RNA (74 nucleotides) under Roseivirga ehrenbergii. Its description in RNAcentral is "tRNA-Cys". It matches the Rfam family "tRNA". Rfam says of the family: Transfer RNA (tRNA) molecules are approximately 80 nucleotides in length. RNAcentral also lists the same sequence under 2 other names. The record is from RNAcentral. Lineage: Bacteria; Pseudomonadati; Bacteroidota; Cytophagia; Cytophagales; Roseivirgaceae.
GGCGUUGUGGCCGAGUGGCUAGGCAGAGCUCUGCAAAAGCUCGUACAGCGGUUCGAAUCCGCUCAACGCCUCAA